UAAAAAUAAAAUAAUAAUAUAUAUGUAAUCCCUGCAUUCAGCCCUUGGCGCCGCUAUAGGAUAUAGACCUAUCCUUCUCCCUCGCCUCAAUUGAGCUGUAGUGUUAAUGGCAUCCUUCAUACUUUCCAGUGCGCUGAGAAUUUCUGUGCCGGAACCUCGUUCAACUCCACUUUCGCUGCUGGACUCAUCAUCUCUUUUCCUGAUAUCGAUGAGUUUUAUCCACCAAACAUGAUACUAUUCGACAUGACUGAGUCCAAAAGUACUUGAACGUGAAGAAGACUCAAAACAUAAAAGUGGAGUGAGAGUUCAUUGGCUACGGAGCCGCUCAACAGCAAUGGAGCUUCAAACCUCGGAGCCAAAGACUGCUAUCUUCACAGACCCGAAAGUAACAUUUUUCAUUGGAUUGUGGUGCUUCCACAGGGCCGAAAGUAACAACCUCCAUGGACUUUAGGACAGCAAUUCAUUGGACUAUGACGCCUUCAUCCCGGAACAAUGUUUCCAUAAGGUCAGAAAGUUUUGUCUCCAUUGAAUUGAAAACAACUAUCUCCAUUGGACUGCGAUGCUUCCACAAAGCAAAGGAAGAUUGCCACCACAAGAUAGAAAGCAACAGCUUCCACAGAUCAUGGGAUAACUACCUUCGUUGGCCCUGGGUUAAUAAUUUCAUACUUAACAUUAGUGGAGGGCCUAUGCACUUUCAUAUUCUAUUCAAAAAGCUCAUGGAACAAGCAAACAAGAAGAAAACCGAAGAUUCCAUUUAACUCGAGGCUGUUGGGGAUACAUCCCCAUAGACCGGCUAGAGUACGAUGGAAACAAGUCGGAGUAAGCGGUAGAUUUGGUCCAGAGGCAAUGGAAGAAUUUCAAAGCAAGUGGAACCCAGUCCAGGGGCAAUGGAAGCGGUUGAGAACUUAUCGAAGGAGGUUACCAGGUGGUUAGGAGCUAAUGGAAGGAGAUUACCAAGGAACUGAUGGAAGGAGGUUAUCAGACAGUUGGAGGUAGUGGAAGGAGGUUACCAGGAAGUUGGAGGUAGUAGUGAGAGGUUACCAGACGGUUGACAGUGGUGGAGGAAUAAUUGGAGCUGCCCUUUUUAGUGGGAAGAGGCGGUUAUUCUAUUUUAGGAUUAAAAUUAGGAAAAAACGCAUCACACAGAGGCACAAGAAGAUGAACUCGUAUUUUUCUCUAUUUUCUUUUCAUAUUUUAGUUUCAUUUUAUGCAUUUUAAUUCGAAUUACAUGUUUUCUAUUCGUUUUUCAGUAGAUUUAUCCGAGUUUUAGUAGAUGUUAGUUUAAAUCCAUCGAAAUCGAUCGUUUAGGCUCGAAGCCGUGCAGGCUCCACCGAAGAAGCCGCCCAAAAUCCAACGACGGACAGGCUCUUUGGAGUACUUCCGAAACCCACACCGACAAAUCGACGAACGGUCUUGGAACCUCCGAAUUUUAGGAUCCAACGAUUGGCACGCCUAGCGGGACCAAAGUCGGAUUUUUCGAAGAGUGAUGUCGAGGUUGACAUGGGGUUCAUUUGUACCGCCUGAAGAAAGCUACGGAAUUGUUGUAAAACAUCCAAUGCUUCAGGCCUUAGGGCCGGGGCAGGCAAGAUUAGGUUGGAACCAACAGGGUUGGAACCACCAGGCUGCGGAAGGUUGGAACCAACAACCUGCAGGAAGCUGGAAGCAACAGCCUGCGGAUGGCUGGAGCCAACAGCCUGUGCAAGGCUGGCAACAGCCUGCGGAGCACUGAAACCAGCAGCCUACAGAGGUUGGAACCAACAUCCUGCGGAUGGCUGGAGCCAACAGCCUGUGAAAGGCUAGCGACAGCCUACGGAGCGCUGGAGCCAACAGGCUGCGGAGGGCUGGAACCCCUUGGCCAUUGGAGUUUUGAAGAGCAGUGUUGAGCCUCCACGAGGGGCAAGCAAAUUUCUAGCAUUUGGCAUGAUCCCACCAGGACAAUUAAGCGGACAUCCUAUGUGGAAUGCGCCAACGCCACUAUGGGGAUGUAACGGUCCGAACGUGGCUAAUCUCCAAUGGAAAAGGAUCAUCGAAACACAAGGGCAAGGAGGGCAGACCGCAGAGAUGUAGCCGCCAACCUUCCAUCAGCAGGCAGCUGUAGUGCAGCCGCUGACAUCAAAUCAACGAGAGGCCAAGCCUCUCAUGGACGUUAAUGUCAUCGCAGAUUGCAUAAGGAGGACACUUUCAAAAACAAGGCUUGAAAAGAAGCCUAGUGCUACUUUGAUUGCGGAAAAUUCACCUCCAUACGAAAAAGAAGCUGCAGGGGCAGAGACUCCAGAUGUUGUGGAGACUCCAGUCGAAAAGGAGUCUGCGGAGGCAGAGGUUCUAAAAGCCAUGGAAGUGCCAGAACUUGUGGAGGCAGAGAUUCCAGAGGCUGUGGAGGCUCUAAUUGAAAAGGAGUCUGCGAAGGCAGAGGUUCCAGAAGCCAUGGAAACUCCAAAGGCUGUGGAAGCUCCAGUUGAAAAUGAGUCUACGGAGGCAGAAGUUUCAGAAGCCAUGGAUGCUCUUGAGCUUAUGGAGGCAGAGACUUCAAAGGCUGUGGAGGCUCCAGUUGAACAGGAGUUUGCGGAGGCAGAGGUUCCAGAAGCCAUGGAAGCUCCCUACCAAUAAUUGAUAUGUUUGAGUGGAUAUGACGAAGGUUGAUGGUUCGACUUAAAAAAAAAAGGCGGGGAUCGAGAAAUUCGAGGGAAUUGUGUGCCCUAACAUCAUGAAAAAGGUGGAGCUGGUGCGGAAGGGUAGCCGAAAUUGUUUUCCAUCAUGGGGCGGCGAUGACAAGUACGAAGUUAUGCACUUCAUGCAUAAUCAAGUUGUCAAGCUGAACCAGCAUAUGUGCACCUGCAGCAUGUUCCAAAUUAGCGGAUAUCCUUGUUUCCAUAGAGUGGCCGCGAUCGAGUACCAGAGAUUUGCGGUGGAAAAUUUCAUAGAUGGAUGCUUCAAAAAGGAAACGUAAAUGGCAGUAUACACCCAUGCGAUAGACCCCGUCCUUGGAAUACAUGAGUACGAAGAAUCCAUGCUUGGGGAGGUGGCACCUCCUGUCGUGAAGGUUCGCACUGGGCGUCCGAAAAAAGCUGGUCAAUGUGACGGUAAUGAUGAGCGGCGGGAUGGUAAAGCAUCUUGAUAUGGAUUGAUGACUGCCUAUUCCAAAUGCCAUCGACAAGGGCACAACAAAAGAAGUUGCAAAAAUGAUCCGCCGCUCUCUAAGCUCCCACGAAUCGGGCGAGAGAUCUUUGUUCCCAACCCGAACCACAGAACACGUCAAGGAAAGAUCCCAUCAAUCGGCCGGACGGACACUGCUCCUAGUCCGAAUAGGUUGCCUCUAACGUACAGGCGUCACCGGACUGUGUACCAGCAACGCCGUUGUCUCAGGUGCAAUCUCAGGGUCCAUCGGGGAUGACAGACGGAAGUGGAGGGAGUCGACGUGCAUCGUGGUCAUCACUGCUCCGGAGUGUUCGGUUUUCACUCAAGCCAGGGUGUCGGGGGGCUUCAGGUGGUGCAUCUUCCCGAGGUCGUUAAUAAGAUUCUAUCGAUGUCUGUUUUGGAUGCGUGCACAGGUACCCAGAGUAGUUUAUUAUCAUAUGUGUUUGUUAGUAUAGAACCAAUUAGCCUUGGACACAGUUAUGCAUAUUAGCCCCGGAAUUUUGUGAAUCGGAUCGAGGAUAUUAUGUGGGUUGUUGUACUUUAUGUAGAUUAUAGUUUGGAUAUUUUGUUUCGUGCCUAAGUUGUUGGAAGUAUUGUAAAAUUGCAGUGUUUGUUAGGAAAUUAAUAUUAUGCCAUGUAUGUUGAAGUGUUUGUUUAGGUCGUAUUGUUGUGGCUUGUGCGGUU
This is a long non-coding RNA of Andrographis paniculata, 3819 nucleotides long. RefSeq lists it as uncharacterized. Lineage: Eukaryota; Viridiplantae; Streptophyta; Magnoliopsida; Lamiales; Acanthaceae. The transcript is spliced from 4 exons. The record is from RefSeq and is a predicted model, not a curated record.